Molecule: ribosomal RNA, 805 nt
Filed under: uncultured Haemophilus sp.
Lineage: Bacteria; Pseudomonadati; Pseudomonadota; Gammaproteobacteria; Pasteurellales; Pasteurellaceae
Description: bacterial SSU rRNA
Rfam family: Bacterial small subunit ribosomal RNA
Source: RNAcentral
CGGACGGGUGAGUAAUGCUUGGGAAUCUGGCUUAUGGAGGGGGAUAACUACGGGAAACUGUAGCUAAUACCGCGUAGUAUCGAGAGAUGAAAGACUGGGACCGCAAGGCCAGUUGCCAUGAGAUGAGCCCAAGUGGGAUUAGGUAGUUGGUGGGGUAAAGGCCUACCAAGCCGACGAUCUCUAGCUGGUCUGAGAGGAUGACCAGCCACACUGGAACUGAGACACGGUCCAGACUCCUACGGGAGGCAGCAGUGGGGAAUAUUGCACAAUGGGGGGAACCCUGAUGCAGCCAUGCCGCGUGAAUGAAGAAGGCCUUCGGGUUGUAAAGUUCUUUCGGUGAUGAGGAAGGGUGGUGUUUUAAUAGAACAUUACAUUGACGUUAGUCACAGAAGAAGCACCGGCUAACUCCGUGCCAGCAGCCGCGGUAAUACGGAGGGUGCGAGCGUUAAUCGGAAUGACUGGGCGUAAAGGGCACGCAGGCGGUGACUUAAGUGAGAUGUGAAAGCCCCGAGCUUAACUUGGGAAUUGCAUUUCAUACUGGGUUGCUAGAGUAUUUUAGGGAGGGGUAGAAUUCCACGUGUAGCGGUGAAAUGCGUAGAGAUGUGGAGGAAUACCGAAGGCGAAGGCAGCCCCUUGGGAAAAUACUGACGCUCAUGUGCGAAAGCGUGGGGAGCAAACAGGAUUAGAUACCCUGGUAGUCCACGCUGUAAACGCUGUCGAUUUGGGGAUUGGGCUUAGAGCUUGGUGCCCGUAGCUAACGUGAUAAAUCGACCGCCUGGGGAGUACGGCCGCAAGGUUAAAACUC